RNAcentral lists this non-coding RNA (31 nucleotides) under Mus musculus (house mouse). The record is from RNAcentral. Lineage: Eukaryota; Metazoa; Chordata; Mammalia; Rodentia; Muridae.
UGUACACAUAGAAAAAUACCCAGGGUCAAGC